AUGAACCUCACGCUUAUCCCUUCUUCAUCUAUCAUUUCUGUGGAGGACACGGGGCCAGUGGACAAGUACAGUGUGGGAUUUCAUGUGACUGGCCUGACAGUGGGCGUGGUCAGUCUCCGCCUCUCAGCAGUGGAUGGACAUGGGUCUGUUAUAAGCUCCUCUCACAAGAAUAUGCAAGUUUACCCUCCAUUCAGUUUGCAGCCCUGUAAACUUACUCUGUCAGUUGGAAGCUUGCCACAGGUUGGCAUGAUAAGACAUACCAAACCAUACAUUGGUUUCCAUAGAAACACUUUUUUUUAUUAUAAACAUAUAUUUGUUGUUCAGGUGAAACGGGAGGGAUUCAUCCUCAGUAUGUUGUCAGGUUCUCUGUGAGUGACAGCGCUGUCACCAUGGUAACUGAGACAGGACGGGUCAGAGGUGUGGCAGUGGGUGUGGUCAAACUCAGAGGAGCUCUUCAGACACAAGAUACAGAAGCAUUGAUUACCUUUUUACAGGUAGCCCACAUUGCUUACCUUUGCUAAACAUGGCUUUCCAUAGUUUUUUUUUUAAGUUUUUUAUUUUUACUUUUUAAAGCCAUUUGUAAUUAAUGUCCUGCCUUGUGGAGCCAUACAGCCCAUACAAAAUAUUGUUAUUUACUGACGAUCAUAUAGCAGUAGACAUAGGGACUGUUCACACUGCACAUUAUUGCAUUUCACUUAGUCCACGCAUGGCACAGCAUUUUAAAAACAUGGUGCUCAAGGUAAAGUUCAGCUUUUAAAAAAUGAGUCUCUAGUUCACAUUCAUGCAGAAUAUGCUUUUGCUUUAAAAUGGCAAUGUUUAGGGAAGCAGAUUUAAAAAAAAAAAUGGUCUAGAGACACAUAUUUUAAAAGAUCAGCUUUAUUUUAACUUGAGCUCCAUGUUUUUAGAACAGUUUGUCAUGCAAAAGAUGCAAACACAGUCAAAAAGUUCAUGUUUACAUACAAGAACAACAGAAAAGGUCUUCUUACGACUUUUAAAAAACACAUUUUACAUGUUUUUGUCAUUUCAACACAAAAACACAUUUUGUGUGAAAUGCCUCCUACUUAGAUACUGACGAACGAAAAAUGUAUGCUUGAUGUGAUUUUCCAUUGCCGUGACACCCAACAUGAAUAAUAAAUGACUACUUACCCAAUGCAGCAAAUCCAACCUUUCAUACCUUAUUCCUUAUUCAUCCCUUAUACGUUGUCACCAUUACCAUCACAAUAUCUGUGCUCAUACACACAACAUGCUUACAUACACUGCUCUUAUUUUAAACUAUAAUAAUGAUCUCCCUAAAAAUAAAAAGACGAAAUUUGAUAUUUCUAAAAGAUAAAAUGCUAUGCCUUAACUUAAUAACUGUAUGUGUGCUGUGAUCAGGAUGAAGUGGAGGUGGAGGUGUUCAACCUGACAGCAGUGAGGAUACAGGCUCCUUUAGUCACUCUAUGAACACCGUAUGAACAGAGGUUUGUCCUUCUCAUGCUCAUUUUUGUUGUGUGCAGCCAUGUUUUUGCUGUCAGGAAAUGUUUGGUGGAGUCUUUCAUUUUAGAUGCCGGUUUAUGUGAUGGGGAGUUUCAGUGGUCAGAACCCUUUAUCUCUGGGUAGUGUUGACUCUGGCCUCAGUUUCCACUGGCGUCUACACAAAGCAGGUGUGCUGGAGAUCGAACCAAGGCAUGCAAAGGUGACAUGCACACACAAAGCAUGAAUUGAUAUGUUUGAUUACUUUUUUAGGUGGGUGAUAGUGUGUCUCCCUCUCACAGUUUCUCUGCGCUGGUGAGGGCCAGAGCUCCAGGGAGGACCAGCCUCAAAGUGUGUGUGCAGCUCCAACAGAUAGACACCAGCAACACAUCACUCUCUGAUCUCACUGAUGAGAUACAGAUACUGGUAAAUACAUCCUCCACAAAGAACCACCAAGGGGAGUCAUGUCAUGCGGAAGCAGAUUUGCCUUGACCUUCUGAGAUAAAAGUGUUAACUAUACUAUAAAAUCAUACUGUGGAGGCUUUUUUUGUUAUUGUUUACAAUCAGAUAUAAUUAAAUAAAGUUAAUACUAGUAGUGUAGACCACUCAGUCUUAUAAUACGUAAUUCAUCACAUAUUAUUUUAGUCAAACGGAAUAGGGCAUGUUCAACAAGGCCAAUUAGCAAAACAGAAUAUCUGGAAGUUUAUAGUAGAAGAAUAGUAUUUAAUCAAAAAAAUAAAAUGGUCAAAAAACAUUUUAAAAUGUACACUACCAUUCAAAAGUUUGGGGUUGGCAAGAAUGUUUAAUGCAAAAAUGCAGUAAAAAUAAUAUUGUGAAAUAUUAUUACAAUUUAAACUUUUUAUCUAUUUUAAUAUAUUUUCAAAUGUAUUAAGCCUGUGAUGAAUUUUCAGCAGCCAUUACUCACAUGAUCUUUCAGAAAUCAUUUUAAUAUGCUGAUUCAGUGCUCAAGUAACAUUUCUUAUUAUUAUCAUUGCUGAAAAUGGUUGUCAACUGGGAUGCAUUUUUUUCAGGAUUGCUUAAUGAAUACAAAGUUCAAAAGAACAGAAAUUGAGUCAAAUAUAUUUUUUUGUUAUAUUAAAUUAUUUACUGCCACUUUCAAUCAAUUUAAUGUGCCUUUGCUAAAUAAAAAUAUACAUUUUGUUUAAAAAAUAAAUCCUAUUGACCCCAUACUUCUGAACAAUAGUGUCUAAAUACAAAUUAAUACUACCUACUAAUAAAAAUAUUUACUUUCAUAUUAUACUAAAACAUUUCAACUAAUGUGAAAUACAUUUUCGACAUAUACUAAAGCUUUUUUAGAAUGUGCAGUUCACUCUAAAUGUAUCUCUUCUUUCUUGUUCCCCCUCUUUUCUCAGGUGUUUGAAGAGAUGCAGUUAACAGCAGGAAGCCCAGGAUCCAUCCUCAUGUCUUCCCUCUCUCAGUACCCCCUGCAGAGCAAUAAGUGAGUUAGUAUGCCUGUUUCAUGUCAGAAAAUGUCUCUUUUUUUCAGUAUCCACUCCAUUAAGUCUGUUCCACAUCACUGCAGUUCUCAUGAUGAUUUGGACGAAUAAUGUGCCUGAUCAAAAGUACAUUUACAUAUUUUUUUCUCAGUUUUACUGAAGUAUUGCAUGAAGUUGGUUUCAUGUAAUCUUAAGACAGAACAUCCAUAGACUAUUUGCUGUUUAGCCAAAGGUCUGUUCAUGCGUGACUAGAUAACAUCAUAGUUUUUUUUUAAAUGUGUGUUUCAGAGACUGUCCGGUCCAUUUCAUCCUUAGCCGCUGUGUCUCAGGGGCAGGACUGGUUACGGUUGAUGAUCAAGGAGUGUUGAAGAAAGGCCUUGCUAUUUUGGAGGUUUAUGCCAUGGACAUUUGUGGUAUCAACCAAACACUGCUGAUCAGUGUGGAGGUGAGUGUUUAUUUUGAGAAAUACUGUAGGUUACCCUCAUUUUAGAUCCUAAUGUCAACAUCCUUUUUGCCUUAGGUGUCAACAGUGUGGUUUGUAUGUGUUUUCACUGUGUCAUCCGUGAACAGUGACAGUGAAAGAGCUCUUCCUGCCUUCCCUCUGGACUGGAGCAUCCGUAUCAGGGCUCUAUACUAUGAUAUACAAACACUGGUCACAGCUAACAGGUAAUAACACAGAUAUAUGUUUAUGUUUAUGUUACUCGUGGUUGUGGUCUAAACUUAUUUUUUCUGUCUCAGAGAUGACCUUCCCUUACGGAAAAGACGUUUAUUCAAAUGUGCUAUUAGUAUACUUAUUUUAAACUAAAAAAUAGGAAAGUAUACUUUGUCUACUUUUUAUGUACUUCUCAGAAAUGUGCUUUAUGCACUUCUCAUAAAUAUACUUAAAAUGACAUUUAAGUAUACUUGACUUUCACUUAGAAAAAAUUUAAAUAUAUUUGAGCUAUGCUUGUGCUCCAGGAACU
Cyprinus carpio carpio is the source of this 3871-nucleotide long non-coding RNA. NCBI's taxonomy places the organism in Eukaryota, Metazoa, Chordata, Actinopteri, Cypriniformes, Cyprinidae. The record is from Ensembl.